Choloepus didactylus (southern two-toed sloth) is the source of this 1675-nucleotide long non-coding RNA. RefSeq lists it as uncharacterized. Lineage: Eukaryota; Metazoa; Chordata; Mammalia; Pilosa; Megalonychidae. The record is from RefSeq and is a predicted model, not a curated record. The transcript is spliced from 3 exons.
UGCCGAGAGACUGUCGGUACAAGUCGUCCUAACAACAUAAGCGAACAACAGAACUGCUAGAGAUCUGACACUCCUGAAUGGUUCUCAAAGAGCCAAAAGAUCCCGAAUGGGCCUCGAGAAGCUCCGGAAACUCCCGAAUGUCACUCGGCUAAUUUCUCCUGCUCCCUAACCAUUCCCCUGUAAUCUCCGACAUUACUGAAUGCUUCUCGGAAAAUUGUAGCGGUUCUGAAAUAUCGGCUGUUUGAAGCUUGAUGCCUGCUCUGACGUUUCCAAAAGCUCUGUCUCGAUUUUCGAGCUCCCGACUAUCUCUCGAGAGGUUCCGAAAGCUCCCGAAUGCUGGUGAGGCACUUCCGACGCUGCGUUCCAACCGGAAGCUGCCGAGUUCUUUGGCAGAGUUUGAAAGGCGGCAUCGAAGGUGCUUGCUAGGAGUGUUUGAACCCGGUUACUGGCCCUUGACGGCUGAUGGCGCUACCAGCCAGCCGCAGAGCUUUUUAUCCACCUCCGUGGCGGCGGUUUGGGAGCCUCGGGCCGGUCCUUGCCCUUGCCUGCCUCAGGCCUUCUCAUGUCUCUCUUUCACCUGGCCCAGGACCGCCUCUUCCCAGUGAGGGCAGAAGAAAGAUCCCGGACUGGGAUGAAGAGAUUUAGGUUCAGGUUCCACCUCAUCUCUGGGCUCCAUUUUGCCAUUGGUGGAAUGAGGUUCCUUGACAGCCUCAGAUAAGCCACGUCUGGUUAUCACCUUCUCACCUUCGGGAGGAGAAGACCUUUCCCUUAGGCUAUGUCCACUGCCUUGUCCCCACCCCUGGAUCUCUGCUUCCCCAACACUUUCCUUACCUCUUCCAGCCUGCAUCCUCUCUGUAGAUCCCUCUUUUCCAUUCCCACUUCUCUUUCUCCUGCCAUCUCCCUCCCGUCUACCCUUCUGGAAGACUUGGGCGGGUAGAGCGGUCUGGGUGUUAAUAACACACUUUUGUGUGACCUCCAGCAGGACACUUGGCCUCCUGAGCCACACUGUCUGGUGUUGUCUUCAUCUGUGGAAUCCCGCUCCUGCCACUUCAUAAGGCUGAGCAGGUGACAGAAGGUAGGAAGUGCUUUGAAAGCUGAAGUUCUGUAAUUAUACAUUAAGAGAUGAAAGGACUUGAAUUUCAACUACUUCCUUACAGCCCUGUAUCAGAUCUUAACAGGUCUGCACAAACUUCCCAAACAGUGCCCUGGAAUUUUUCUUAGACCCGGAAGGUUAGAUCUGAAGGAAACGGCUGUGACUCUCAAGAAUUUACUCCAUCAACUCAAAGCUCAAAGGAGACUGGGUGCUAUUCAACAUCUCCAGUAAUGUUGGGUCCAUACAAUUGAGAUGAGGGUCUACAAAGUCAGAUGCUCGUUGGAGUCAGACACGUCACAUUCCAUGAGGACAACAGAGACCAAGUCUGGUUUGGCCAUCACUGAAUCCCUAGUGCCUAGAACUGCACUGAGCCCAGAGAACAUGCUCUAUAAACAUUUGACCCAUCCUGGAGCCUUAGAGCAAGGACCUCAUGAAUGAUCUGACUGGGAUAGAAUCAAUGGACCAAUGUUAACAUACUUUGGAACAGCAUAACUGGAACAUAGAGAUAUAGUAGGCUACGUUCUCAGCUUAUUCCUUUUUCCCUCAUCUGAUAAAGAAUUAAACACAUAUAUUUUGCCAUAA